Long non-coding RNA from Peromyscus leucopus (white-footed mouse), 798 nucleotides. RefSeq lists it as uncharacterized. NCBI's taxonomy places the organism in Eukaryota, Metazoa, Chordata, Mammalia, Rodentia, Cricetidae. The record is from RefSeq and is a predicted model, not a curated record. The transcript is spliced from 2 exons.
ACCCACUGAGUCAUCUCAGUGACCCCUGAAUGUAUGCAUUUUUAAUGAUGUAAGUGACAUAGUCCAAUUUCUUAUUAUCAAGUGUAUUUUACACGUAUGUUUAGACUUACAUGUACAAACAUGCUUAUUUAGAAACACUGCCUCAGUUUCCACUUGUUAUUCAGACCCUCUAUUACUCUAGCUCCUUGUAUGUAUGCUGUUAAGGGACCAAAUGCAGGGUCUCUUAUGUGCCAGGCAAAUACUCUGCCACAAGUGAGUCCCCAAUCUUUCCAGCUUCCUUUUAAAUGACCUAGCACAGUCUUCCAGACCACAUCUUCAUACUUCUGCCCACAGUCUUUGAGAUGUAGCACUUUUGGGGGGCUGUGCAUUGUGGCAGCAAGAAGGGUUGUCUCAGCCCUCACAAGCCACGCUCUCUUUGGGAUUUCCACAGUGGCAUCUUCCUGCACUGCUUUUGAAAGGGACCUUUGUGGGGUGUGGCUGCCCCAGGAAAUGCUCCCUUGUGUUAAGGUUGUAUGGACAAGUGUGAAGGCAUAAAAUGGCAUGGGACCUGGUGAGUUCUUUUCUUGUUGCUGCAAAAGAAGGUCCUGAUCGAAGAAAGAAACCAACAAAAAAAAGCUGGCAAGAUGGGUCAGUGAAUGAAGACAAUUGCCGCUGAGCCUGCAAACCUGAGCAUAAGCCUCACACACGGUGGGAUGAGAGAAACGACUCCUGAAAGAUGACCUCUGUUCUCCCAUGCCUUUUGGCACAUUUGCCGCCCCAAUCAAAAAAAAUUAAAUUAAAUUAAAAUUUAAAAAACAA